UUAUGAUCUGCAUAAUCCUUAGUCUUUAUUAAUAUUACAAAAAGCAGAAGACAGGACAGUAUAGUUUAUUUAGUAAGUAUUCUAAAUAAAUUUAGUCUAACUGUUCCUAUUUUUUGUUACAUAAAAUAAGUUAGGUAAACAUUGCCAGCAGAUUGACAUUCAAAACGCAAAACAAAGUCACUAUUUGAUAGUGGUAACACAUUACAGUUUGCUUCUACCUACAAAAUGAGCUAUGGUAUUAAAUUUGACUCUCUUCAAGUUUGUGGCCACUGUUA
Molecule: long non-coding RNA, 275 nt
Filed under: Bos taurus (domestic cattle)
Lineage: Eukaryota; Metazoa; Chordata; Mammalia; Artiodactyla; Bovidae
Description: long non-coding RNA NONBTAT000286
Source: RNAcentral